Molecule: RNA transcript, 7426 nt
Organism: Rhincodon typus (whale shark)
Lineage: Eukaryota; Metazoa; Chordata; Chondrichthyes; Orectolobiformes; Rhincodontidae
Gene: abl2
Gene name: c-abl oncogene 2, non-receptor tyrosine kinase
Exons: 12
Source: RefSeq, a predicted model, not a curated record
GCUUGGGGCACAGGCGUUUGCAAAGGGACAGCGGGACGGGGGCGGAUGCGGAGUCGGGGGGGAAGUGAGCGGCUUCUGUACCGGAGCUGAGGAAGAGUGAUCGCCCGCCCCUUUAUCUUUUCCGCCGCGGUAUCUGCAGGGACGGUGCUUUGCAUUCGCUUUGAAGAGACAAGAACCCCCGACCCUUCUCCCUCCCCACUCAGCCCGAGGGAAGGGGACCGGGCGGCGACCCCAACCUGUGAAUCUAUAUCAGGCGGAGAGGAAGCCGGGCCGAGCCGGCCGGGUAGGGCAGAGAGCGACACAAUAAAUCUGCCGAGAAGCGGGAGAGCAUAGCGAGUGAGAAUGUAAAGGAAAAGGCUCCGAAAGACCGGGAUUCGGGACGGACGCUCUUGGAAAGACCGGGGAUGGGGCAGCAGCAGGCCCGCGUUGGCGGAGCUGCUGGUUUUGGUGCGGUUGGGGAGGCAGUCCAGCCCGGCAGGGGUAGGGUUGGCACAACGAGGCCCGGACACGGGGCCAGGAGGCGAGACACAGCAGCCAGGAGUAACGAAGCCGCCUGUAACAUUUUCAGUCACCAUGAAGUUUUGCACCGUCCAUUUGGUUCUGACAUUGAUUCACAGACACUGAAUGAAGCAGUGAGGUGGAGCUCAAAGGAAAACCUCUUGGGAGCCACUGAGAGUGAUCCUAAUCUAUUUGUUGCACUUUAUGACUUUGUUGCAAGUGGUGACAACACACUAAGCAUUACAAAAGGUGAAAAGCUGCGUGUGCUAUGCUAUAAUCAGAAUGGUGAAUGGUGUGAGGUGCGUUCGAAGAACGGGCAGGGAUGGGUUCCCAGCAAUUAUAUCACACCGGUAAAUAGUCUGGAAAAGCACUCCUGGUACCAUGGCCCUGUCUCACGUAGUGCAGCAGAGUACCUACUUAGCAGUCUUAUCAACGGCAGCUUUCUUGUUCGGGAAAGUGAGAGCAGUCCAGGACAACUUUCGAUAUCCCUCCGCUAUGAAGGUCGGGUUUACCACUACAGAAUCAAUACAACACAUGAUGCCAAGGUGUACGUGACAGCAGAGAGCCGGUUUAACACUUUGGCAGAGCUAGUUCAUCACCAUUCCACUGUGGCUGACGGACUGGUCACAACCCUGCACUACCCUGCUCCAAAAUGCAACAAACCCACUGUUUACGGAGUUUCUCCCAUACAUGACAAGUGGGAGAUGGAACGCACUGACAUCACAAUGAAGCACAAGCUGGGUGGAGGGCAGUAUGGGGAGGUGUACGUUGGAGUCUGGAAGAAAUAUAGUCUUACUGUUGCUGUAAAAACACUGAAGGAGGACACAAUGGAGGUAGAAGAAUUCCUGAAGGAAGCUGCUGUAAUGAAAGAAAUUAAACAUCCAAACUUGGUUCAACUACUAGGUGUUUGUACUUUGGAGCCACCGUUUUACAUUGUCACUGAGUACAUGCCCCAUGGAAAUUUGCUGGAUUACCUGCGUGAAUGCCACAAGGAAGAGGUGAAUGCUGUUGUGCUGUUGUACAUGGCCACGCAAAUCUCUUCUGCUAUGGAAUACCUCGAGAAAAAGAAUUUCAUUCACAGAGACCUGGCUGCUCGUAACUGCUUGGUUGGUGAGAAUCACAUGGUGAAAGUUGCAGACUUUGGUUUAAGCAGGUUAAUGACCGGUGAUACCUACACUGCCCAUGCUGGAGCUAAAUUCCCAAUUAAAUGGACUGCACCUGAAAGCCUUGCCUACAAUACCUUCUCAAUAAAAUCUGAUGUGUGGGCAUUUGGAGUGCUUCUGUGGGAAAUUGCCACAUAUGGGAUGUCUCCAUACCCAGGAAUUGAUCUAUCUCAGGUCUAUGAUUUACUUGAGAAAGGAUACAGAAUGGAGCAACCUGAGGGCUGUCCACCCAAAGUCUAUGAACUGAUGAGAUCAUGUUGGCAGUGGAAUCCUAUGGAGCGUCCAUCAUUUGCUGAGAUCCAUCAGGCUUUUGAGACCAUGUUCCAUGACUCCAGUAUUUCAGAAGAAGUUGCAGAAGAGCUUGGAAAAACUGCUGCUUCAACUGUGAUCACCCACCAGCUUCAAUUACCCCUGCUCCCAACAAAAACCCGAACACUAAAGAAAAAUGCUGAAAAUAAAGAAAACAUGGACAUGGACCAUCCUGCAAUAGCUCAUACCACAGUGCCAGGAAUGGGAACAAGUGCAGCCCUGUGUAGCAUCUCCCCUGCAUUGCCUCGUAAGCAAAGAGAUAAAUCUCCCAGUGGUCUCCUGGACGAUAGCAAAGAGACCCUGUUUACCAGAGAUAGAAAAGCUGGCUUCUUCAGUUCUUUUAUGAAGAAGAAAACUGUCCCUAUGCCUCCUAAACGCAGCAGCUCCUUCCGAGAGAUGGAGAACCACCCACACAAGAAAUAUGAGAUAACGGGUAACUUUUCUUCUUUCUCAUCUUUUCAGCACUCAGAUGGUCUUACAUUUGUCCAGUCACAUGCUGACGGGACACACGCACAGGCUAGGUGCUGUGGACGGGGUUCUGUUCAAAGAAAUGGUGGUGUAACUAGUGGAGGGUGGGCAGGAUUUGCUGGAUUUUUCACUCCACGCUUAAUAAAAAAGACACUUGGCUUAAAAGCUGGGAAGCCUUCAAGUAAUGAUGAUUCAAGCUUGGAAGCCUCCAAACCUUUCCCUCGGUCAAAUUCUACUUCUUCCAUGUCUUCAGGGCUUCAGGAGCUGGAUCGACUAGCCUUGACUCUUCCUAGAAAUUGUCACCGCAACAGAAUUCAACUAGAACAUCCAAUUCCUGCCAUCUCUAAAGAGGAGGAACAUGGAAGACUCACAGACCCAUUACAUCGAAAAGCAGAAGAUGGAAUUUCCUCAUUGAGAGACAAAUCAAAAGCCAAACUCGUAGCGCGGGGUGCUGCAACACCACCUCUCAGGGCAAAUGCAGGCAAUGGAGACAGUGAUCUUUCACAGAAUCUAAAUUCAGUGCAGGUUGGGCGGGGAGAAUCCAAUAGUAGUCAUUCCAGAUCUGUAGGCAUGAAAGAGGAUGUGGAGAAGGGAAGUUGGUCCUCUCCAGUUAAGACUGUUGCAACUCUUCCAGCAACUCAUAAUCACAAAGUACCUGUACUGAUAUCUCCAACUUUGAAACAUGCUUCUGCAGAAGUUCAGUUGAUUGGAACAGAUUCUCUGGGAAACAAAUUCAAACUGCUGUCAGAGCAUCAGGUUGCAUCAGAAAGGGAGCGUCCCAGGCUUGUAAAACCAAAAUGUGCACCACCCCCACCCCCACCCCCUCCACCUCCUCUCAAACUAUUGCAGCCUCCUCCCAGCACAGGUCUGAAUAGCACAGAAACAGCAGAGGACUGUGAGAGCACAUCAGCACAACAGGAGGUUGAGAUUAAUGGUGAAAGUGGCAAAAGGCCCACAACGGCUGCAUUAGGAAAGAUCUCCAGACCAACUCUGCCACCCCCUCAAGUGCCUCCAGCUUCAUCCAUUCCUGUGGUAGCUUCCUCCAAACUUGCAAAUGGAGCCUCUGUAACUACGAGUGCUAGAAUUUCCUUGCGAAAAACCAAGCUGCCACCAGAGAAGGUGCCAACAGAAAAAAUCAGCAAGGAGGCAUUAUUAGAAUGUGCCGAGCUUCUAUCUAGCAUCAUCGACAGUGGCUCAGAGUCCACCUCCAACAGCCAGUUGGUUGAAGCAGGAUAUCGGUUGCUUGAUCAUUGUACUGGUUAUGUGGACUGCAUUAUGCAAAUGAGGAACAAGUUUGCUUUCCGUGAAGCUGUAAACAAAUUAGAACAGAGCCUCCAUGAGCUCCAGGUAUCCUGCACAGCUUCUACUGGACUUACAACAAACCCUGUGCUCAGUAACUUACUGACAUGUGUUAAAGACCUAAGUGACAUUGUGCAGAGGUAGCCAAGAAGGCCAUACUGUGUGUGAGAGGUUUAGUGACUCAAGUUUAUUAUCUGAAGUACCUCAGCAAAUGUUCAGCUUUUCAAUGUUUACAGAUUCAUCUCUUUCAAUCAGUGAAGUCCUGAUUAGAGCUAUCUGUGCAUAAUGAGGGUGUGGAGAGCACUGUCUCCAGUUUUUACUGGGUGGAAUGCUACUCCUUUAUUAAAUUUGGUGGAAAAGGUCCAAAACCAGCUAUUUUGAAUCAGGGCCAAGGUAAGCUUUUUUCCCCCCCAUACUGGACAGUUCUCAGGGACUUCUCCCUUUUGAAAAGGAAGUCACACCUAAUAGUUUUUGAGUAUUUAAUCAUGUACUUAUGAUCAUUUUGUUCAGUGCAAAACACAACACAACUAUCUUGUCACUGAACUCAUUCUAUGUACUCAUAUCAAUGCACUAUCAAAAAAAGUUUAAAACAAUUUGCUUUAAUUUUGUCCUUCUGCUGCUCAUGUGCUAAUAUUAAUUCGUAACCCACUUUUCCCAUCACACUCAAUAGUAGUCCAGGUACUUUAUUGUACUGGUCCAUGAUGCAAAACUUUGAGCAACCGCACCAAAAUGUUGAAGUGUGAAUGUAGUAUGCUCUGCCAGGUGUUUUUUCACCAUUCAGGUAGACAAGGUGUGAACAGUCAUGCACCCAUUGUUAAUCUGUACUGAAAUGCUAGCAACAAGACUGAAAACUAAAGCUUAAGUCUGUCACUUCCUCUUCAUAUUGGAUGGAAUUUGCUGGCAGUGCCUGAGACAGGCAAAACUGCAUUAUAUCAGCAGACCUGUAAACUUAAUUCAGGUUGAUAAUUUUUUCUGUAUUUCCCAAUGUAGCAGUGUUUCUCCUUUGUAAUGCCCUGUCUUCUUUUGCAGCAGUAUUGGAAUUCCAUGGGAACACUACUUCAAAAAGUCCCUCAGAACUGUCUUGGGGUUAAAGAUAUGCCUAUGUAAUAUUGCUUCUCAGAGUGGACCUCGUGUUUCUAUUUUUGGUGAAUGGAAAAACAAGUUAUGUGGCAGAAUCUGCUGUGACUUCAGAAUGACAAUGUGAAUUGUUUUACCUUGGGAUUGCUAAGUGAAUCUACUGUGUUUGCUGUGAGUGUAGAAAAUGACAUCCCUAAAUCAUGCACACAGCCAAGUCAGAGCUCUACCACAGUCAAUAUUUAUGACAGCAAACCCGUCCUCCCUGCUUAAGUACUCACCCUGUGGUGCUGGAGCAUCAUGAAGGUCCCACAGGAAUAUUGCAUCUGUUUUUUUUCUCUGUUCACAGCAAUAGAUUAUACCAAGAAAAUUGCACACAUUUUUGAAUUACUUCUUUAAACCACGACUCCUGUGCAGGUAACCCCAUUUCUCUGCUAAAAGAAAUUUAGGCACUGACAAAUACUGGUGUUUUGCACCAUUUCUGUUUGCCAUUUUCCCAUUUUUAUAUGACUGUUAAAGAAAAGCUUCUUAAUACAGGUUCCUCUCUAUAAAUUAACCCAUUAGUUCUGUGAAACUACUAGUUGUCAAAUUAAUGACCAGGAAGAUCAUUUUUACACUAUCCCUGAAAAGCUGUCCUUAUAACUUUCUGGCAUGCAGAUAUUUUACCAUCAACUUUAUCAGUUUUUAAUUUUUUUUUAACACAAGCCCAUGGGAGGCCAGUGUACCUUCUCUUAAAAUUGUAUUUCUCUACCCCAUCAUAGUACUGAUCCUGAAUGUGUAUGUGGUACUUUUUAAAGCGUUCCAAUUAAUUUAAUUGCAUCAGAGAAUUAUUCAAAUGUUCACUGCUUGUUACACUCCAUCCCACGUGCUCAUUGCUGCCUCUCAAAGUAGUCACAAAGCAUGUGCACUUAGGCAAGAUCAUUUCAGAUAAGGCCAUAUAUUUAAAAAAGGCAAACAUUUUUUUCUUAAUGUUGAUGUUUACACUGUGCCUGGAACAAGGAGGUAGCAUCAUGAUAUGGAACCAAGGGUUAGAUUUAUUCGUGUUGGAAUUUGGAGUUGUGACUGCACUAGUUAAUACCAAGGCAGCACUUCAUAAUAUGUGGUGUCCAGUUUUUUUUUUAGGGAAAGCAAGUGUGUUUGUAUCAUAGAGUACUGAUCUUUAGGAACUUGACACCAGUCCCUCAAGUCACACUCCCUUGCUGUGCCGCUACUGUUUGUGCUAAGACUAGGAAAGUACUGAUUUCUGAAAACACUAGAAUAACCUUGCUGUGUCCAGUGAAAUGCAGAAUUUUUAUUUUUGAGUGCUGUGACUUUCUGAUCAUGUUUGCAGUAUUGCCUGUGGACUGUCAAUUCAGACUGCUGCUGAUAAUUUGCAGAAAUACUCUGUGUGCAUUUAUACCAAAGGCCACUUGGUUCAGUCAUUUCUUUGUGCAAUUUAGGCUGGGUUAAACUCAUUUCUAGUUUCAUGGGCAGAUCUGCAAUCAGUUUUAUAGGAUAAUAGAUCCUGAUUUUGUUAACUGCUUUCACAUAACAAACCUCCUUGGAUGACAAAGCGGUCUCUUCCUUUACAUGUGCUUCAAAUUCCUUGCAAAAACAAAAUGAUGUUAACAUCAUGAAAAUAAUUAGAAUUCUCACAACUAGUAAAAUCAUUAAAAUUAUCCCUGAAAAAUUUCUGGGACACUAAUUAUAAAAGGGAAAACUAAAACUAUCAAGAAAUUGAAUCCCAGAAGAACUGUUGUCUGUGGGCACAUUGUGUUUUCAUAGUUAUCUUCACUAUGAUGUAUAAAACAAACCUGCACCUCCUUUAAAACUUUGAAUGCAUUAAUCCUAAUAGCCUUUCCACAAAAUACAACACAGUCCACCUCAUACUUUUGUAUUUGUCAGGAUGUUAAAGUGGGCAUCAAUAUCCAUGCAGGUGCAGCUGUAGUGUAGCUUCAACCCAACAGAAACAUCUGACACAUUUAACAUGAAAGGAAAAAUUGAGCAGAGUUACUUUACUGGGCCAAAAAUUUCAUUUCCUUUGGAAAUAUUGAUUUCCAUAAAAUAACGCAAACUGACAUGGCAGAGAUCAACCAAAAGCAAAAUUAAAGUCAAAAACAAAAUCAGAUUUAAAAUUAAGGAGGUCUGAUUCACUAAGGUUUUAAAAAAAAGUCACGGCUACCCCCCUCAAUAUUUUAAUAUCCUCCAGUAAUGAAAAACUUCAUUGCAUUACAUUAUUGUUUUUUUUCUUUAUUCAUUCAGGGGAUGAGGGCAUCGCUGGCGAGGCAGCAUUUAUUGCCCAUCCCUAAUUGCCCAGAGGGCAGUUAAGAGUCAACCACAUUACUGUGAGUCUGGAGUCACAUGUAGGCCAGACCAGCUUUACGGAAGAAAAAAGUUGACCCGUUGUGCAACUGAUUUGCAGCCCUGUGCAGAGAAAAGCUUUUCCUCCUUUGGAACAUACAGCAUUCCCUUAGCUACUUCAUCUAGAAUGUCGAAAUCAUACUGGAUUCCUCUGGACAGAAGAGCAUCACGCACACACAACUUAACAUGCUUGUACUCCAGUGGUAAGAAAGGGAUGAAGAAGUCAAUUAGGUUUUCAGUCACAAGGCCACUGUGCGCAAAUCCACCUGGAAAUA